RNAcentral lists this ribosomal RNA (253 nucleotides) under uncultured bacterium. Its description in RNAcentral is "partial 16S ribosomal RNA". It matches the Rfam family "Bacterial small subunit ribosomal RNA", at positions 524 to 776 of the family's 1533-position model. The record is from RNAcentral.
UACGUAGGGUGCUAGCGUUGUUCGGAAUCACUGGGCGUAAAGCGCGCGUAGGCGGCUUGGCAAGUCAGAGGUGAAAGCCCAGGGCUCAACCCUGGAAUUGCCUUUGAAACUGCCAAGCUGGAGUGUCGGAGGGGAGAGCGGAAUUGCUAAUGUAGAGGUGAAAUUCGUAGAUAUUAGCAGGAACACCGGUGGCGAAGGCGGCUCUCUGGACGACAACUGACGCUGAGGCGCGAAAGCGUGGGGAUCAAACAGG